GCCACCCAAACACCAUCGAGAAAGAAGAACCAGAGAGGAGAAGCGCAUGGGAGAGAGGGAGGAAGAGAGGGCGGGCCGUCGUGAGAGAAAGCGUUCGAUAGAGUAGAGAUUUCUCAGCGGGGGACUCGUUAGUCUAUGUCGCGCGUGUUUGGAGGGGCUUUUGGGUUUGGGAACCAUCGGAGCCGCCGAAUUUCCUCGUCGUUGUGAGACCACCAUCGCCGGAGAUCCAGUGUUGUGGGCAGGACACUCUGUUGCUCUAUUCAAGGUAUGCUACCCUCCCCUAAGUUCAUUUUCAUCUGCUUCACUCUUAUCACUCUCGGGGUGGAUGUUCGAGCUUGGAUUUGGAUGGUUGGGGGCGGCCAUGGCGCCACCGCGGGGAGCUUGAACGUUGCCGGCUGGCUGUCUAUGGGGUGGGGUAAAUCCUUGGUCGUUCACCCAUUUUUGGUCGGCCAGGAUUAGACCCGUUGUGUACCCCUUCGUAGUUGGACCUGGGGCGUCCAAUCUAGAUCGUGUGAAGCGUCUCGAUCUUUUAAGGCUCAAAUAUGAUACAGUUACUAGUACCAAGAGGCUAGUAAACACAUUCAUUUCAUCAGAUAGUAUAGAGUCUUACAUAAUAGCUAUUACAAUACCAAAAGCAAGCUCUAGCGAGCCUGGGAUAAUAGCGGAGCGGGAAAACUAGCCCGAGCCACAGACAAACUGGGUGCAGACACAACCCCCUUUUUAGUUGAAUAUAGCAGAAAGGAAGACUCCGAUAGCUGAAAACAUAAAUAAAGCUGGGUGAAUACUCACGUAUUCCGCAAGCCCAUCCUAACUCGUAAAGAUAGAGGGACACAUACAGUACAUGCUUGAUAUGGUGGAGUUGUAGUCACUCUUUAUUUUUCUUUGAGAAAAGCGAUACUUGAUGUUUUUACCUAGAAAAAGAGAGAAGUAGCACUUUUCAUACUCAACCACCACUGAGCUUCCCACUCCCGUGACCUCAUCUUUAUUUCCAAAAAUACUCACGCAUUUCCCUUUUCUUAAGAUAAAAACACUCAUUGUCAUACCACACCAGACUCAUCCAUACCAGUGGACACAGACUAUUCGAAUAGGUUUCAAACUCUAAGCAGAGGUGUACACUUUACCCACUAGUCCAGCUCUGUGAUCUCACUGCCAUGAGAUCUGACACCGAAGCUCUUUCCUUCCUUGCAUGACCUUAUUAUACCGGAAGGAACAAGGCCACCUCCAUGCCCAAACCAGGACAAAACAUUCCUCCUUCUUAUCCUCCUGAUGCUCCCUAGCCAUCAUAACCCUAGGGUUCAGACCGUGCAAGUUCAGAUUGAGUGACUGCCCAUACAGUCUCGAAUGGUUGUACUUGUCAUGAGUACAGGUAGUGAAGGAUGACAAACUGGUCCUUAGACGAGGGGGGAAUCCUUCAUGCUCGCACCUAACCCGGCUGAGCCAUCACUAAAAGGGAAAUAGGGUUUAACCUUUUCCUAUAAAUAAUUUUGGUGGUUGAAUGCCCAACACAAAUAAUUGGGCUAACUAGUUUGCUCUAGAUUAUAUAUUCUACAGGUGCAUACAGGAUCAACACAAACCAAUAUUUGAUCAAGAUUAGGGUUCAAAAGCAAAGGAGCAAAGAAACUGAGUGUGCCCUGUCUGGCGCACCGGACUGUCCGGUGUGCCACCGGACAGUGUCCGGUGCACCAGGACCAUACAACUUCGAACUCUUUGUGACACCCCAGUGUCACCUAGGGUUUCUCUCAAAAUGCCAAGCCAAGAACCAUUAUUUCAUGUGAACCAAAGUAAGUAUGAGCAUCAAAUUAACUUAAGUAAGAAAGAAUCCACCAAGUAUAUACUUAAAAGUAUCAUGAUCAAAACAAUUGAGUCUUUUAAAAAGAUAAGAAUGUACAACCCUAAUAAAAACCCUAAGUGAGCCCCAUGAGCAAAAUUCAAGAAAAUAAGAAAAAGGGGAUGAAAAAUUUAAAAUUAUGACUUGAGCCAAUUAUAAAAAUUGAAGUAUAUUUAAUGAGCAACAAGAAAGGUUGAGAAAGCUUAGCCAAAAUAACUCAAAUAAAAUCCCAAAUCAAGCUUCUCAUGUGGGGACUUAAUGGGAAUUCUGAGUUUCAGAAUUCUGAAAUUCAGACCUUGAGCCAAAGAUCAGGGAUGUUCACCUUGAUCCCUAACUCGAAUCCUAAUGGCCCCAUUAACAAAAUUGUGUCUAACUAACCCCUCUGUCGUGUGCCAGAAGAUGGCAUUGGGACGCGAGCCCUAGACAUGACAAAACCUUGGAUUUGCCUCAGGUUUGAGCAGGGAGAUAGACCGGAUUUCCUGGCUCCAUAUCUCUGCAACCAGUAGGCAAAAUCCUAUGACCCCCACACAAGAUCGGUAGCUUGUAGGGAGGAGAAGAGGUUUUGUGCACUGACCAAGGCGAGAGCAGGCUCGGAUGAGCGACCACAUGCGCCAGAACUUGGGCAGAACGCACGGGCACACGUGUUCGACCCUGGUCGGCACGCCAGAGCUCGCCCAACCCGCGCACGCGCUCGCCCCGGCGUCCGGUCAAGUCCGCCGCGCGCCCUUGCCCUCGGUCGUGCCCGCCCGCGCCUAUAAAGCCUCCCCGGGCGCGCCUCAUUUCACCCCGCACUCAUCUUCACCGGCCAGCCACUUUCCCUUAGCUCCGGCGAGCUUAAUUCCGCCCGCCAUUGCCGCCAGAGCUUCGGCCACCGUGGCCAGCCCACUCCAGCCACCCUCAAGUCAAGCCAGUGCUUCGGCUAGCUCCACCAGUAGCCCGUGAAGCUUGCCAAGCCCUCGGACCCGGCCGGACUUCACCGGAGGCCCGAGAUCGACCUCACCGGACUUCGGUCUUCCGCCGCCGCGCGUGGACCGAGCUAUCCAGUGAGUCUCCGACCAAUUCCUUGCGCCCAUAUCUUCUUUGGCAUCCCAUGAACCUCUCUGACCCAUCCAAUUGCUCUAUCUCGCCGUGACCAGGCCGGACUCCUCGCCGCCGACGAGCAUCCCCGCCUGCGCGCGUGGACCGACCGACUCCGGCCAUCUCCGACGCGACCCGCACACCGUUGUGAUCCCCGAGACCUCCCCUACGUCCUCGACCACUUCACCGGAGCAAUCUCGCCGCCGGUAAGCCCCUCCGCCCUUUCUUCCGCCGCAGUUACUGUUUGAGUUAGAAGAAGGACCUCAGGUUAGGAUUUAUAGAACUCGAGGGGUUUUCUGUAACAUCAGUGACUCAUGUGAAUAGUAACUUAAGGACCAAUCCGUAAGGAAAACUUAGAAAACCCGCCAGGGACCCCAGUGCAAAGUGGAUUUCCAUUUAAUCAAUUCUGUUAAUCUUUUUAAAAUGACCAGAGAAUUUAGAAAACCCAUAACUUGAUGAAUUCUUCAUAAAAAGUUGUCAAACUAAAUUUGCUAGCUCCUGAAUAUUAUGAACUAUCAUUUAAAAAUGAUAAACCCUAUGCUCUCUGUUCUAAAUUUUAGAGUUUAAAAUUAAAAACAGAAACUUACCAAACCUAGUUUAAUUAAGGAAAAUUAGUUUUUCUUCUGUGCUGAACUUAAGAAAAUUUGUAGAUGUUCAAACCUCAUUUAGACACUGUUUUAAAAUAGUAGGAACCCCAGCAUUAGAAAAUAUGAUGUAGUUAUUCAUUUAAACCUAUUUUGCCCAAAACUUAGGGAAAAUCAGAAAGACAUUAGAAAGUAAUGAACAGUGAGUAAAAUUAUUUUUCCUAGUUUUCUUAUGUAACAGAGAACCUAGGAAAAAUAGAAAGACCAUUAAUUCAGACCAGUUUUAAAUUAAAAUGUUUUAUUUAGCCUUAUUUGGACUGAAAAUCAAUUAUUAGAGUAGCAAAACUAUAACCAAAAUGAGUAAUAAAAAUCCAGUGGACUUACAACCACCAGAGCCCCACUACAAAAAUAAAGGACACCUCAGCCCAACUUUUUAAGUAAGGAAAAUAAAUAUAAAGUGAUAAUGAGGCAUUUUCCAAAUAAAUCAUGAACAACCCCUAAUAAUGUGAUAAUGGGCAACCAAAAAUUUGCUAAGUCCAUAAUGAGAUAAGCCACCAGAGAAAAAUACAAACCCAUGAAAAAGAAGCAAACUCACACCUAUUGCUAGUGUUUUAUGAGAAAGGCCACUUAAUUCAAAUAAUGCAUACCACCCCUUCCCUUAAGCAAAAAGAUGCCAAACUUCAGAAUGAUUGAUCUUGCACAAAACAAUAACUAAGAAAAAUAAGAACUCUGUUGUUUGAUGUUUUUCAAAUAUAGUGAUUGUAGAAAGCACCUAUUUGGCUAGAAACUUGAGAAAACCAUAGAAAAAUAAUUAAACGGUAUUAAUGACUAGAAAUUUGUAUCAAGUCAUGUUAUAACACCUAAAAGCCAGCAAAAAUAAGUUUUGGAGAAUUACCCACUGUUAAAUAAUAGUUGUAGUUCAAAGCACCCCCUUCUGCCCUAAAAUUUGAUAAUUUUGUCCAGAGAAAACUAUUCACUUUCUGAUCCUCAAAUUUUGAGACAGAGAAACAUACACAAGUACCAAGCCACUGUAAUUGUUACAGAAUUUUUAGAAUUUUAUAAAAGCAACUUGUAGUUCAAACCCACUCCAAAACAUUAAAGGAAUAAAAGAAAAGGAAUGAAGGAAUAAACCCCACCCCAAUAAGCCUACCUUGAAUACUUAUCAAGUCUCCCUAAGACUUAAAAAGAAUUCAAUGGAACCCCAAAAAUAAACCUACCACCUACCUUAGCUAAGUUUGACCCAAUUUACCAAGUAUACCACCCAAGGGACUUAUAUAAGCAAAGUUAACCUUGUUUAACUCAAGAAGAUCAUACACCUUUAAGUUGUAAUUUCUAAAAGCACAUAUCAUAUCAUGCAUAUAUCUUACGCAUUGCAUUAUUUAGAUUGCAAUCUUGCCGACGGAGAGUACGUGCUCAUCCCCGAGCAAGGAUCUGUCCAAAAGGAGGACCAGGAGCAUGCUUCAGAGGCUGCUAUUGAGGAUCUCCCCGCAGCCCCAGCAAUUGAAGGCAAGCCCCGGUUUUUAUGCAUAUCCGUAUUAUUAUAUGAUACUUUACUACACUUAAUGGUUGUAGGUUUGUAAUGUGCACUUAAGUGUAGGAGUUGCUUGAAACCUCUAGUUGCAUGAACUUAGGAUUCCUUUUUGAGAUGAAUACUAGUAUGCUAGGUCGAGUAGCUGCUUGCUAAUCAGGAUCUCGGUAGAAGUCGAGUGAUUUUCUAGCACUCGCGUGAGGUCAGGAAUUGAUUGUAUUCAUCUUGACAACGGGAUAUAUGUUUGUCUAUGGAUUUGGAUCUAGGGAGGAUGCCUUGUCCAUGCGACGGGAAAAAGGAAUUAAGGAUUAAUGUGUGGAUACCUGAGUCAAGCUUUUGAACGUACUAAGCACAUGCCGGGAAAAAUGGUAACCGGUAAACCUAGUACCUGAGUGAAGCCGGGCACGGACUUUAUCCCUCAUGCGACCUGAUACUGGGUCUCCCAUGCUAGCUAUGGUGGGUACAAGUGCGGUCACUGCACGGCGGCAGCCGGGGUCAGUGGAGCAUUGUAUGCCAAGGCGGUGAGGCCUGGACGCGAACGGGGAAUCGAUGGGGACGGUUGUCAUGUGUGGGGUCGGAGUACCCUGACAUGCCGUGUGUUUAGGUUUACCUUGCAAGGUUAAAACUCUAUUCGAAUCGUCUGCUUCUCGCAGCUAAUGAGACUGCUUGACCCCUUGUACUGCAUCGAGUAAGAAGUGAAAUUUGGUUACAUGAGAUAACUUGUUGAUUGAACUAAAUGAUUGUUACCAUGUAUGCUUAGAAGGAGCAAAUCUAGCUAAGUUAAUGAUGAUAGAAAUUGAAAGGCUAAAAAAUUGAUUUUAGAAACAGCUAGUGCUUUUGGCAAACCAAACCCCUCAGCCAAAUAGCUGCAUAGUCUAGAGGUAGAGGAGUAGACUCCUCACACCGGUUAAGUCUAGCUGAGUAUUAGUAUACUCAGCCUUGCUUGUGGCACAAUUUUUGCAGGUACCAUUCAGGAAAUGGUUGAUGGUGUGACUUGGCCUACCACCCUGCCACCGGGUUGGACGGUCGAGUGGGAUGUUGCUCCGGCAGGAGAGGAGCACGAGGAGUAGUGGGCUAGGCCUUGCCCAUUUCCUCGAUACCGACGACAUCGAUUAUCCGCUGCA
Molecule: long non-coding RNA, 6141 nt
Filed under: Zea mays
Lineage: Eukaryota; Viridiplantae; Streptophyta; Magnoliopsida; Poales; Poaceae
Description: long non-coding RNA (ZMAY_LNC005275)
Source: RNAcentral